AAAAAAAAAUAUAUAUAUAUAUAUAUAUAUAGAGAGAGAGAGAGAGAGAGAGAGAAAGAGAGAAAGAGUUGAGUUAGAAUACUCUCAAAAAGCACCGAGGAGUGGUGUUGUUGAGUUUUUAACCAUUUAAUAGAGAGACGUAGGAUUAAGAUGAUGGUGAUAGGUGGUGGAAGGUGGAAUAGUGUUUUGUCAAAACACUAUAUAAAAAAUUAUAUAGAGUCUGGUUACUAUACUCUUAUGAGUACGAUCGCCCUCGUACUCAUAAGUUGUUUUCGAUGAUAGACUAGUUUCCGAAUCGACGAUCCAUAUCAUUAAACAUUAUCUAGAUUAUUUGAAACAUCUAGAAAUUAAAGUUCAUAAUUUUUCGACAUCAUUUGCCUUACGAUGAAAAGCACACAAAAUUAACAAUUUUUAACGGCCGGUAUGAAAUACUUGCUGGUUUAACGGUAUAAAAGAAUUUGGAAUAUGUUGAAUUUUUGAUAGAAAAUUCUAUUCACUACCUAGAUAAAGAUCAAUAGCUCCAAUCUUAAAUUGAAGGAUCCGAUCAUCUAUUUUUAGGACGUCGUUCGAUUUUGACUGUUUAUUUUAUGCCCAUUUGAUGGACUUUAUUAUGAUUUCGAAAAAUUACGAAAUUUAUUUUUUAGAAGUUUUAAAUACUGUAAAUCAUACUUAAUUGAGUGAAUCGUCGAUUCAGAAACCUCAUUAUCAAAAAUAACUUAUGAGUACGAAUGGUCCAAUACUCGUAAGAAUAUAGUAGCCCUACUCUAUUUGUGUGUGUGUGUAAAAAUGUCAAAGCAAUUUCAAAAGCUUUUUUUGAGAAUAGGUAGCACGCCACCUGCUUCAUUCAUUGAAAGAGUGAAUUAGGCUACAGGAGUGAGACAAUCAAGGCCUCGAAAA
Molecule: long non-coding RNA, 897 nt
Filed under: Ananas comosus (pineapple)
Lineage: Eukaryota; Viridiplantae; Streptophyta; Magnoliopsida; Poales; Bromeliaceae
Description: long non-coding RNA (ACOM_LNC001359)
Source: RNAcentral